Molecule: ribosomal RNA, 571 nt
Filed under: Anaplasma marginale
Lineage: Bacteria; Pseudomonadati; Pseudomonadota; Alphaproteobacteria; Rickettsiales; Anaplasmataceae
Description: bacterial SSU rRNA
Rfam family: Bacterial small subunit ribosomal RNA
Source: RNAcentral
UCUACCUAGUAGUAUGGGAUAGCCACUAGAAAUGGUGGGUAAUACUGUAUAAUCCCUGCGGGGGAAGAUUUAUCGCUAUUAGAUGAGCCUAUGUCAGAUUAGCUAGUUGGUGGGGUAAUGGCCUACCAAGGCGGUGAUCUGUAGCUGGUCUGAGAGGAUGAUCAGCCACACUGGAACUGAGACACGGUCCAGACUCCUACGGGAGGCAGCAGUGGGGAAUAUUGGACAAUGGGCGCAAGCCUGAUCCAGCUAUGCCGCGUGAGUGAGGAAGGCCUUAGGGUUGUAAAACUCUUUCAGUAGGGAAGAUAAUGACGGUACCUACAGAAGAAGUCCCGGCAAACUCCGUGCCAGCAGCCGCGGUAAUACGGAGGGGGCAAGCGUUGUUCGGAAUUAUUGGGCGUAAAGGGCAUGUAGGCGGUUUGGUAAGUUAAAGGUGAAAUACCAGGGCUUAACCCUGGGGCUGCUUUUAAUACUGCAGGACUAGAGUCCGGAAGAGGAUAGCGGAAUUCCUAGUGUAGAGGUGAAAUUCGUAGAUAUUAGGAGGAACACCAGUGGCGAAGGCGGCUAUCUG